CAACCCUGAUCCAGCAAUGCCGCGUGAGUGAUGAAGGCCUUAGGGUCGUAAAGCUCUUUUACCAGGGAUGAUAAUGACAGUACCUGGAGAAUAAGCUCCGGCUAACUCCGUGCCAGCAGCCGCGGUAAUACGGAGGGAGCUAGCGUUGUUCGGAAUUACUGGGCGUAAAGCGCACGUAGGCGGUUAUUCAAGUCAGAGGUGAAAGCCCGGGGCUCAACCCCGGAACUGCCUUUGAAACUAGAUGACUGGAAUCUUGGAGAGGUCAGUGGAAUUCCGAGUGUAGAGGUGAAAUUCGUAGAUAUUCGGAAGAACACCAGUGGCGAAGGCGACUGACUGGACAAGUAUUGACGCUUAGGUGCGAAAGCGUGGGGAGCAAACAGGAUUAGAUACCCUGGUAGUCCACGCCGUAAACGAUGAUAACUAGCUGUCCGGACACUUGGUGUUUGGGUGGCGCAGCUAACGCAUUAAGUUA
Molecule: ribosomal RNA, 472 nt
Filed under: alpha proteobacterium Z19
Lineage: Bacteria; Pseudomonadati; Pseudomonadota; Alphaproteobacteria
Description: bacterial SSU rRNA
Rfam family: Bacterial small subunit ribosomal RNA
Source: RNAcentral